AUUGAACGCUGGCGGCAUGCUUUACACAUGCAAGUCGAACGGCAGCACAGGGAGCCUUGCUCCCGGGUGGCGAGUGGCGCACGGGUGAGUAAUACAUCGGAACGUGUCCUGUUGUGGGGGAUAACUGCUCGAAAGGGUGGCUAAUACCGCAUGAGACCUGAGGGUGAAAGCGGGGGAUCGCAAGACCUCGCGCAAUUGGAGCGGCCGAUGCCCGAUUAGCUAGUUGGUGAGGUAAAGGCUCACCAAGGCGACGAUCGGUAGCCGACCUGAGAGGGUGAUCGGCCACAUUGGAACUGAGAGACGGUCCAGACUCCUACGGGAGGCAGCAGUGGGGAAUAUUGGGCAAUGGGCGAAAGCCUGACCCAGCAACGCCGCGUGAGGGAAGAAGGGUUUCGGCUCGUAAACCUCUGUCCUAUGGGACGAAGGAAGUGACGGUACCAUAGGAGGAAGCCCCGGCUAACUACGUG
Molecule: ribosomal RNA, 467 nt
Filed under: uncultured bacterium
Lineage: Bacteria
Description: bacterial SSU rRNA
Rfam family: Bacterial small subunit ribosomal RNA
Source: RNAcentral